AACGAACGCUGGCGGCAUGCCUAACACAUGCAAGUCGAACGAGACCUUCGGGUCUAGUGGCGCACGGGUGCGUAACGCGUGGGAAUCUACCCUUGGGUUCGGAAUAACAGUUAGAAAUGACUGCUAAUACCGGAUGAUGACGAAAGUCCAAAGAUUUAUCGCCGAGGGAUGAGCCCGCGUUGGAUUAGCUAGUUGGUGUGGUAAAGGCGCACCAAGGCGACGAUCCAUAGCUGGUCUGAGAGGAUGAUCAGCCACACUGGGACUGAGACACGGCCCAGACUCGUACGGGGGGCGGCAGUGGGGAAUAUUGGACGAUGGGCGCAAGCCUGAUCCAGCAAUGCCGCGUGAGUGAUGAAGGCCUUAGGGUUGUAAAGCUCUUUUACCCGGGAUGAUAAUGACAGUACCGGGAGAAUAAGCUCCGGCUAACUCCGUGCCAGCCGCCGCGGUAA
This 449-nucleotide ribosomal RNA is filed under the name uncultured bacterium. Its description in RNAcentral is "partial 16S ribosomal RNA". It matches the Rfam family "Bacterial small subunit ribosomal RNA", at positions 29 to 523 of the family's 1533-position model. The record is from RNAcentral.